AGUGAACGCUGGCGGUAGGCCUAACACAUGCAAGUCGAACGGCAGCACAGGAGAGCUUGCUCUCUGGGUGGCGGGUGGCGGACGGGUGAGGAAUACAUCGGAAUCUACUCUGUCGUGGGGGAUAACGUAGGGAAACUUACGCUAAUACCGCAUACGACCUACGGGUGAAAGCAGGGGACCUUCGGGCCUUGCGCGAUUGAAUGAGCCGAUGUCGGAUUAGCUAGUUGGCGGGGGAAAGGCCCACCAAGGCGACGAUCCGUAGCUGGUCUGAGAGGAUGAUCAGCCACACUGGAACUAAGACACGGUCCAGACUCCUACGGGAGGCAGCAGUGGGGAAUAUUGGACAAUGGGCGCAAGCCUGAUCCAGCCAUACCGCGUGGGUGAAGAAGGCCUUCGGGUUGUAAAGCCCUUUUGUUGGGAAAGAAAUCCAGCUGGCUAAUACCCGGUUGGGAUGACGGUACCCAAAGAAUAAGCACCGGCUAACUUCGUGCCAGCCGCCGCGGUAA
This 506-nucleotide ribosomal RNA is filed under the name uncultured bacterium. Its description in RNAcentral is "partial 16S ribosomal RNA". It matches the Rfam family "Bacterial small subunit ribosomal RNA", at positions 29 to 523 of the family's 1533-position model. The record is from RNAcentral.